CCUACGGGCGGCAGCAGUCGAGAAUCAUUCACAAUGGGGGAAACCCUGAUGGUGCGACGCCGCGUGGGGGAAUGAAGGUCUUCGGAUUGUAAACCCCUGUCAUGUGGGAGCAAAUUAACAAGAUAGUACCACAAGAGGAAGAGGCGGCUAACUCUGUGCCCGCAGCCGCGGUAAUACAUAGGUCGCAAGCGUUGUUCGGAAUCACUGGGCGUAAAGCGUGCGUAGGCGGUUUCGUAAGUCGUGUGUGAAAGGCGCGGGCUCAACCCGCGGACGGCACAUGAUACUGCGAGACUUGAGGAAUGGAGGGGGAACCGGAAGUCUCGGUGUAGCAGUGAAAUGCGUAGAUAUCGAGAGGAACACUCGUGGCGAAGGCGGGUUCCUGGACAUUAACUGACGCUGAGGCACGAAGGCCAGGGGAGCGAAAGGGAUUAGAUACCCGGGUAGUC
This 446-nucleotide ribosomal RNA is filed under the name uncultured bacterium. RNAcentral describes it as "partial 16S ribosomal RNA". It matches the Rfam family "Bacterial small subunit ribosomal RNA", at positions 338 to 795 of the family's 1533-position model. The record is from RNAcentral.